This 497-nucleotide ribosomal RNA is filed under the name uncultured bacterium. RNAcentral's name for it is "partial 16S ribosomal RNA". It matches the Rfam family "Bacterial small subunit ribosomal RNA", at positions 28 to 507 of the family's 1533-position model. The record is from RNAcentral.
GAUGAACGCUGGCGGCGUGCCUAAUACAUGCAAGUCGAGCGAACAGAUGAGGAGCUUGCUCCUCUGACGUUAGCGGCGGACGGGUGAGUAACACGUGGAUAACCUACCUAUAAGACUGGGAUAACUUCGGGAAACCGGAGCUAAUACCGGAUAAUAUAUUGAACCGCAUGGUUCAAUAGUGAAAGACGGUUUUGCUGUCACUUAUAGAUGGAUCCGCGCCGCAUUAGCUAGUUGGUAAGGUAACGGCUUACCAAGGCAACGAUGCGUAGCCGACCUGAGAGGGUGACCGGCCACACUGGAACUGAGACACGGUCCAGACUCCUACGGGAGGCAGCAGUAGGGAAUCUUCCGAAAUGGGCGAAAGCCUGACGGAGCAACGCCGCGUGAGUGAUGAAGGUCUUCGGAUCGUAAAACUCUGUUAUUAGGGAAGAACAAAUGUGUAAGUAACUAUGCACGUCUUGACGGUACCUAAUCAGAAAGCCACGGCUAACUACGUG